UAUAAAUAAUUUUCAAAUGCAUACCUGUAUAUGCAGACAUAUGGUCUUUGAGCUCAUUACAGAACAUUUCUCCCAGAUGCUCUUCAGUUUAAGUGUUCAUGGCUUUGAGGUAGGGGUUGUUGUUCGUUGUUUUUUGUUUUGUUAGCUUGUUUGUUCGUUUUCCAGGAUCUAGUUCAACACCGUUAUGGAGUUCAUUGGGAUUAAACACAGCAGGAUUAUGGGGUUCACCAAGAUAAAAGGAUGCCUUCAGUCUGUCAGCAAAAAUAAUUGUAGUGUUUAAACUAGUUUAUAAUUCAAAAUAACAACCAAGGAUGUUCUGGGGAAAAAAAAUAAUAAUUUUAAAAAAUUGUAAAAUUUAAUUCUUUGUAUUGUUCAAGGGACUGAAGAAUUCAGAUUUCCCAUUUUUUGUUUUACAUCUGGAAAGGUAAUGUACAGCUUCUACUGGCAUAGAAGUAUGUGCCUAAUUCUUUGUUUUGAAAACAUACCCCUAAAAACCAUGUAUAAGAACUGUGUGAUGGUACAGGGGAAUGAAAACACUCCGUUUUAAAAGUCUAAUUCCCCACUUUCUUUUUAGCCUAGUCAGUAUUUCAUUCACACACACUUUUAAUAUUCUUGUUUCCUAAAUCAUAUAUUAAUGUUUUUGGUCUCUAUAGCUGAAAGGCAUAAUUCCAGUAAUGAGGGGAAAUAAGCAGAAUGCUUGAUGAAGUAGCUAAGCUACCAAACAACAAACAGAAUGUUUCAUCAACUAUGUUUUAACAACUGGUAUAUAAAGCUGCCACGGUUUGUCAUUUCCUCGCCAAGAAAUGCAUCGCUUUUUAUUACAAUGUGGUAUGUAUCAAAAGGGUCAAAUAAAGCAAAAUAUUGUGAAAGCAUAAUAUACAGCAGCAAUAGAAAGUGAGCUAAGAGGAUGUCAUAGAAAAAAAAUAUAUGUUUUUAUAAUUAUAUCAUACAGUAAUUCUGUAUUUUUGUUUGUUUUUCCUACUUCUGUGAGAACUCUGGCACAUCUACUAAAUCACAUAGAAAGACCCAGAAUCAGCAGUUACCCUCAAGUUACUCUGGAAGAACUUCCUAGGCUCAAACAAAACCCCAAAUUACGUACGGACCAGGGGAAGGACACUCAGUUUUGUUGGCUUCAUCCUGUGACUCCCUGCCUUUUAGCUUGCUCAGGGGCAGAUGCUGGAGCUCAGGGCCACCAGCGUGACAUAAAGGUGACUGGGCAGAUGUGCCUGGCAUGCCGAGCCACAGAACGGGCAGAAGAUGCAGCAGCUGGGGGCUUGUUUCUUCUUCUGGACCUGGAACUCCAUGGAGUCAGGAGAAAAGUUGUGCUUUUGUCAAAUACAUGUAAGGUCAAUGACUUAGCCAAUGCAGGAUGGAUGGAAAAAUAAGAGGUGAAGGCAUACUCUUGAAUGAAUUACUGUUGUCUUCAACUCUGGGUAUAAAAAAAUGAUAAAGUGCAUCAGAUGUUCAGUUCAGUCUAAGCAUGAUGAUGACAGCAAGCCCAAGAGUAAAGAGAAUGCUUCAAAAAGCAAUUUAGAAAAAUUAGGACAUACAGAAGUUUUUGUCAUCCAUUAACAGCAAAAGUUCCUGACAAAAAGUGCUCUGAAAUGGUAAUCCACCUAGUCAAAACCUGAUGCCAUAUUUCAGCUGAGGAAGACUGCUGGCUGCAGCAGCAAUUAGGCACAACUAACAAUAUGGAAUGUAAAAUGAACAUUCAUAGUAUGCAAAAAUGCGUAAUUAGGACUUAAGGUAGAUAAAUUUCUAGAGAACAGGGAAAAAACAGUUAUGAUGAUAACCCAUGAGUCCUGUUCACAUUCUGGAUUGAUUAAUUUAUUACAAAUUUUCAGUAUUUUAGAUGUCAAUAUAAUGUCCAUACCCAUCAAUCAUCUUAAAGGAUUUACUAGGAAGUGCACAGAUGUAUAAAAAUACUUUAAACCCUCACUUGCUAUGACUUUUUGCAUGCUUUUCCUUCUUGCCAAUUUUGAUCUGAUUUAUUUCCUCUAGCAAAUUUUCUCCCUAUUCUAAAUCUUUAUUUCCAAUAUUUAUAGUGUAAUAUAAUUAUGAAAAGAAUUUUCACAUAUGAGUAAGUUUUGUUUUCUAAUGAGUACGUUUUGGUUUCUUUUUAGCUGCUGGUAACCUGUAUUUCAUGCCACCAUGUGACUUAGUCUAGUAUCAGACAUCAAAAGCACAAAAUAGUAGAAAGAUUUUCUUUGUUCACUCAGUAUCAAGGUAAUAGAUAUUCUACUCCUUUGACUGCAAAAUAUUUAGAGAAGGCAGGACUGGAGCAGGGCAAAACUUGUAGUUUGGGGAAAAGAAUCAGAGUAGAAGAAGGCAGAACAAGGUCAAGCAUGGGGAACCGAGGGCUGGGGGAGACGGUGGCUGUGGGCUGGUCUCAAGCUCCCAGUUGAGGCCUUGCAGUGAGACUUACUUCAUAUCUGCCAGCUUCUUUUUGAAGCUGUGUGAGCAGGCAGUUUCAGCACCCAGGCAGGUGGCUGUGAGGACAAACCUGCUAGCAGAUGCCCCAGCAGUGUCUCACACCUGUGUAACUGUCUGCCUGCAACCUGAAAGAUUAACCUGGCACCCAUUAAUUAAGCACUUUAGCUGGAAAGCAGACACUGUUCUUUCUUCUGUAGUCCUUACAAUCUAAUCCUUCCCUGAAUUCAAGUACAGGUGAUGUGAGUUGUUUCUGUAUGUUUGUUUGCUUGCUUGCUUGUUUGUUUAUUUUCUUUGACAUUUAAUGUUUUCUCUAACUUUUCUGUGUAGGCCCUGUCAGUGUCCACAAGACUGGAAGUAUUGUUCCUGUAAAUUAAUGUAGAAUUAAAAAAAAAAAAGAGAAACCUUCUCUGCUUUCCCCUAUUUGCAAGCCAAUUGAACAUGUCUUUGUGGUGGGGGAGGCACGCUGGACUCUAUGGAAUCAGCUUCUAGUAUUCAAAGGAGCCACUGGAAAUGAAAACAUGACUAUACAUCAGCAUGCUGGCACCUUGUUUUAGCUGAUGAAACAACAGUAAACCUCACAGCUUCAAGGUAAACUAUGUCUGCCAAAACUACCUGAAGUUCAUAAGAGUAAUUAAGAUCUACACCCAGAAGAAUAAUUAAAAUAUUCAAAACAUCUAUUGAUCUUGAACAUCUGGUGACUUGUCAGUAACCACAGAUACACAAAACCAGCCUGUUUUAACAUACUGUUAAUUUGCAGUCUUUGAUUAAAUAGAUUUUUUUUGGUAUGUGUCCGUAAUAACUAAAAGGAUCAGCCCUGCCAUUCAUUACAUUCUUUUUAAUAAAUGACCUCUGUUUUGUAUCCCAGCAGGGAAGUUUGUAACAGUGAAUGUUCCUGUCGAUUGAAAAUUGAUCUUUUCCAAGGGAUGUUCUAAAAGAUUAAGCAGGUAUCUUUAGGCAUGAGACUCAGGUCACCUCCAUCCUGUAAGUAGCAUUCUUGAUUUUAUUUCUGUUUUUGUUUUUAGAUCUGUGGCUUCAGCCAAGACCUGUGUCUUUCAGACCACAGAAUUUUUUUCUCUUCUACUAACUUUGAAAAUAUGUAAGUCACAAGCUGCAUUGAUACAUGAAAAAAUAAAUAGUGGGAUAUAGACGAUAAUGACUAUACUCAUGUCAUGUUGAAGAGAAAAAUACCUGUCUCUAUAGACAUUUCAUAGCUUAUUGAUCUUUGCAAGAAUAUUUUUUUCUUCUCAGCCUCAAAAUCUGCUGCAAAACAACUGACCUUUUCUUUUUAAAUAAUGUAAAUAAUUUCUUUUUUGAUGGACUAGAACCAUAGGGCCUGGUCAUGCCCUAUUAAAUACUAUUGAUGGAAGCAGAGUACAACUUGGAGUAAUGUCAGCCAAAGUAUCUUUCUGUCAAAUUACCAUUUUCAAGUCUGAAUAAACUAUACAAUAAAGAAAAAAGAAAACCAAACCCUACAGGGCAAUCCAGAAGGAAAAAAAAAAAAAAAAGAAAAAAAGAAAAAACCAAUAAACCAAGUAAACCAAGCUAACAAACAAAACCUGUGUGGCUAUCUGAAAAUUGACUACGUUGCAGAUUGUAUUACAAGUUGAACAUGGAUUAAAUUUGUUGAAAGAUAGCUCAAGUUCACAAGAUCUCAGAGCAAUUUUAAAUCUAUUUAAGAUGGCUUACUCACUGCAUUAUUUGAUAAUGUCUGACCUUAGUGAAACAUCCAAAGGAGAUCUCUCUUCUUAGAGUUGUAUUUUCAGUGGAGCACAUUCACGGUGCAUUGAAAUUCUGGGUCUUGAGAAUGGUUGCACUAAGCCCUUCAGAAUUAAACCACUGAGCAUCAUAAACUCAAAAGUCCAUGUAUCAAGCUCAUGACAGAAGGGUCUUGAAUCCACCUCCUGCCCAAAGGUAUGCAGGAGGCCCUUAUAGUCACUGUGUUCUUGCUUCUUUUUGCUAAUAUCUAUGAAAACUUGACUACCGCACCCCGCUCUGUCUGUGUAAUGUAUGUAUAAUUUUUUAUUUAUCACUUUAAACUCUGGCAAUGAUCAUGUUAUAGUGCUGGUUUUGCCUAAGAGACAUGUCGUUUGAAAAGUAUGAUAUAGUCCCAAAACUGCUGCAAGGCAAAUGUUGAAGCAGUGAUGAAGCCACUGUUUCAAUCUUCCUGGGACUUGCUUUUAAUUUUAUUAGUUUAAUAUGAAUAUAUGUUAGAUGAGUUGCUUAUUAGAUCAGUUGAAAUGCUAAAGCCUGUUACCUCUGUGGAAGAACUGAUUAUCUUAAACCCUUUCAUUUCCAAAUGGUAUACUCCUUGUCCAUUUUUAAUUCAAAGCAGCUUUAUUAAUUCUUUCUAUGGUACUCCUCUGUGCUGCAAUUACAGCAUUAGUCUGAGCUUUUCAGACUUGAUAACAGAUUCUAAUUUUAUCCCAUCUGUUUCAUUGUAAGGAUUUUUUUCAUGCCUGGAGGUGGCUUUUCCUUAAUCAUUUCUUCUGUACAAGAUUGCUAGUAGAAGCUUAAAAGGCUUUUCUUCCUGCAAAGAUCAACUGCUGGUUUCUUCUCCAUCAGGACAAUGUAUCAGCAGUUCUCUGGAUAAAUUGUCUAGAAGGCAAUCAUUUGGAAGCUCUUACCAAGCUAGGAAGGUUGUUAGCUUUUGAUCUCUUUUCUUAAAUAAUAUCACUGCAAAGUUACCCUAGCAUACUGACAUUAGAUCUCUGCUGGGUUAUCUUCUUGAGAGUAAAGAUUACAGAAAGAUUCUUUGUUAAGUUCCAAAUUGAAAUAAACAAAAUUUGUUCUCAGGCCUCAGAUAUUCAUGUGAACAUACCACUGCAGGUUCUGACAUGCAUGUACAUGUGAAGCAACAAGCGAAUCCAGGUGACAAGUGGAAAUGAAUGGAUAGUUAAAAAAAUAAUAAUCACAAUUUCAUUUUGUUAGUAAUUUUUAAAUCCCUUUGAGAUUUGCAUUUUGCCUUUGCAUUUGUGUUGACAAUGGUAUGGCUGACAGUACACCUAAUUUUGACUAAGAUGUUCAAAGAUAAAGUGGUUUAGCUCAGGUUUUGGCUCUUCAUGCCCAUAGACAGUCACCUAAAUGAUAAUAAAAGAUGAAAAAUUCAUGGAAUUUAAUACUUCUGUGAAAGAUAAUUCCUGAAAGCUUUCAUUUAUCACUCAUGACCUUUCUGAAUGUAUAGUUUCUGGAGACAAUCACAGAGUCUUCAACUAUCCUUGUGAACUUGACAGGUCUGUGAUCUUCAUUGGAAGUUAACUAUUCAUCAGAAUAUACAUUGGAAGGCUAGGGAAUAAGGGCUGGUCUGCAGCUGCAUGUAUAUCCCUUAUCUGCAGAUAGAUGUCCUUAAAAAUCCUUUUGGGAAGGUGAGUCAUGAUAAGCUUGGAAUUAAGCAAGUUCAUUCUUCCUGGCUGAAUGUAAAAAUCAGAAAGUAGGAAUGAUUUCCAGCCAUGUUGUCAAUAUUAACAAACAGGCAAAUAGCUUUAUAUCUGGACGUUCGGAUGGUACAGUCUUGAUUUUGCCUCAUUUUGAUGUUACAUUUGAUAUGGAGAUAUUCCUCAGUUGUGUGAACAUUUAGGCAGUGAUUACAACCUAAAGCAUAUACAUACUGGCUGUAAAAAGCCCUAUGUACUUGAAUUUUUUAAACACAGGUUUGGAUUUCUGUUGUGCCCUUGCCACAGGACUUUUUGUAGUAAAUAUAUUUUAUAUAUAUACACUUCCAUUUGACCAGUUUUAGCAUUUGUUAAGCUGGGCCACUCUGCCAGUUAAAUUGAUCACAAUAGUUUUAACUAUAAAUAAUUUUUAUAAAUAACUUUACAUACUUUUAAUAGUUAAGAUUGAUUGCAUUUUUAUAUAUGUAUUCAUAUUUCAGAUGAUUCUUGUUUCACAGAAAGACAGACAGUAAAAUUAAGAACAUAUCCACAACCCAUCUUCAAAAUGCGGGGUGUCAGUCACUGCUUGAGCCAGGCUUUACAGCUCAUUCAUAUCAAAUUUCUGUACAUCUAAAUAGUCUGAUAUUUUUGAAGAUCCUUCUCCAUUUCAGAUAGCUGGUAUCAUAAAAGUAUUUUAGACUGUUAUUCAACAGUUAUAUGA
This is a non-coding RNA of Anas platyrhynchos (mallard), 6522 nucleotides long. NCBI's taxonomy places the organism in Eukaryota, Metazoa, Chordata, Aves, Anseriformes, Anatidae. The record is from RefSeq and is a predicted model, not a curated record.